Long non-coding RNA from Balaenoptera ricei (Rice's whale), 3999 nucleotides. RefSeq lists it as uncharacterized. The transcript is spliced from 5 exons. The record is from RefSeq and is a predicted model, not a curated record. NCBI's taxonomy places the organism in Eukaryota, Metazoa, Chordata, Mammalia, Artiodactyla, Balaenopteridae.
UCUGUUAUGGACUGAAUUGUGUCCCUUAAGAUUCAUAUGUUCAAGCCCUAACAGCCAAUGUAACUAUGUUUUUAGGUAUGCCCUAUAAGAAGAUAACUAAGGACAAAUGAGGUCAUAAGAACGGGGUCCUAAUCCAGUGUGACUUGUGUCCGUGGAAGAAGACAAGGCACCAGAAGGUGCUCACUUUCUCGCUGUAUUCACGAACAGAGGAAAGGCCAUUUAAUGACACACCAAGAAAGUGGUUGAUUAGAAGUCAGAAAGAAAGGCCUCACCAGAAACCAUUCCUGAUGGCACCUUGGUCUUAGACUCCCAGCCUCUAGAAAUAGGAGAAUAUACAUUUCUUUAAGCCACCCAGUCUGUGGUAUUUUGUUGUGGCAGCCUGAAAAGAGACAAAGAUGCAAAGAAGGUACCUCAUUGUAUUCUGUUUUUGCCGUACUGAUAACAGUAGACGCAAAUAACCUUGAGAAUGUAUAGAAUAGUAAAGCAUAGUGAAAUAAUUAGGAAGUUACAAAUUUUAAGAGUUACCUUUGCUUUUUAAACAGCUUUACUGAAGUACAAUCAGUUGUCAUUCACGCUAGUCAUGUUCUCUAAUUCACUGAAUCAGUGAAUAUAGAGCCGUUGUUCCUAGGGGAAAUCUGGAAUUAGGUUCCUGAGAGCCUCUGGUCACAAUGUUUUUGUCAACAGGUCAGUACAUAACAUGGUUUUCCAUGUGUUUCUGUUUAAAGACAACUCAUUUACUGUAUACUGUUGAUUCGUUAACACUGAAAUCAUGGCCAACAGCAUGAUGAUUCAUGCCUGAACAAUGCUUACCUAACAUGUAUUUUCUUUAAGCCCCAUUUUUUGGGCUUAGGAACUCUAGGCGGCACGUAAGCGCCAGGUUUGGAGGCCAUUUUGGACCACAAAACCACCAAGAAGUGUAAAAAUGUAAGUAUUGAUUUGGGGGGUUUCCAGUUUUGGCAGGUAGGCAAAUUUACAAAUACAGAAUCCAUGAAAAAUGAGGAUUGACUAAUUGUCUUGCCAUAAAUUGUGCAUACUUAAAGAUAUACUCAGGCUGAAACUUGUGCUUUUUCACCAUUUUAUGGACUCACCAAGACUUUGUGAGGACUUUGGUGGAGUCUAGGAUGUUUCAUUCAGCCAGGUGCAUAUGAUCAGGGGCAAAUUCAGUCAUCUGUGAGUCACCAGACCUGGGGUGGGUUAUCAGUGGGCCUGGGCUUUGAAUGAUGGUUGGAUGGACAGAGGAAGGGUGUGAUUUCUGAGGGCACAGCAAGUGCAGGAAAAGCAGAUAGGACCAUGGGUAGCUGAGAUCCACACAUGGUUCUCUGUGGCUGCGUCUGAGCCAAGGAGUUGAAUGAGACCUGCAUGGAGUGAUUUGGGGCUGUGGUUGCUAACAGGAACCAUGGGAAGUCUGUAGUCAUACUGGAUCCUCUCUGAAUUUGUCAAGGAUAUUCUGGAUGCUGUCUGCCAAGUUGUGUUGUAAGUUCUAAAAUUAAGGCCAAUAGAUAAGCUGCCUUGGCAUCUGGUGAAACAAGGAUGCCCUCAAAUGGCCGUGGUGCAAGUUUCCCUCCACAUGCUUCUCACAGCAGGAUGGCGUGACCUUUGAAGAUGUGGCUGUGACCUUUUCCGGGGAGGAAUGGGGUCUCCUUGAUGAGUCUCGGAGAUGCCUGUACCGUGAUGUGAAGCUGGAGAACUUGGCACUUAGAGCCUCCCUGGGAGUUGCUGGGCUGCCACCUGCUAAAGAAGAGGAUGUGUCACCCAUACCUGUCGUUGGAAUUUCUCCCCGGGCAGAGAUCCACUAUUCACUUGGAAUUGACUCUUGAUGAAUUUUAUUCCAUCUAGAUGGUCAGUUGAUGAAGCACCAUUUACUGAGAAUCUGCUUCACUGCUCACCAGUACUCAUAUCGUAAUAAAGCAAGUGCUCAUAUAUGGGAACAAGACAAGGAUGCCCACUCUCACCACUAUUAUUCAACGUAGUUUUGGAAGUUUUAGCCACAGCAAUCAGAGAAGAAAAAGAAAUAAAAGGAAUCCAAAUUGGAAAAGAAGUAAAACUGUCACUGUUUGCAGAUGACGUGAUACUAUACAUAGAGAAUCCUAAAGAUGCUACCAGAAAACUACUAGAGCUAAUCGAUGAAUUUGGUAAAGUAGCAGGAUACAAAAUUAAUGCACAGAAAUCUCUGGCAUUCCUAUACACUAAUGAUGAAAAAUCUGAAAGAGAAAUUAAGGAAACACUCCCAUUUACCACUGCAACAAAAACAAUAAAAUACUUAGGAAUAAACCUACUUAAGGAGACAGAGACCUGUAUGCAGAAAACUAUAAGACACUGAUGAAAGAAAUUAAAAAUGAUACAAACAGAUGGAGACAGAUACCAUGUUCUUGGAUUGGAAGAAUCAACAUUGUGAAAAUGACUGUACUACCCAAAGCAAUCUACAGAUUCAGUGCAAUCCCUAUCAAACUACCAAUGGCAUUUUUCACAGAACUAGAACAAAAAAUUUCACAAUUUGUAUGGAAACACAAAAGGUCCCAAAUAGCCAAAGCAAUCUUGAGAAAGAAAAACGGAGCUGGAGGAAUCAGGCUCCCAGACUUCAGACUAUACUACAAAGCUACAGUAAUCAAGACAGUAUGGUACUGGCACAAAACCAGAAAUAUAGAUCAAUGGAACAGGAUAGAAAGUCCAGAGAUAAACCCACACAUAUAUGGUCACCUUAUCUUUGAUAAAGGAGGCAAGAAAAUACAAUAGAGAAAAGACAGCCCCUUCAAUACGUGGUGCUGGGAAAACUGGACAGCUGCAUGUAAAAGAAUGAAAUUAGAACACUUCCUAACACCAUACACAAAAAUAAACUCAAAAUGGAUUAAAGACCUAAAUGUAAGGCCAGACACUCUAAAACUCUUGGAGGAAAAAACAUAGGAAGAACACUCUUUGACAUAACUCACAGCAAGAUCCUUUUUGACCCAUCUCCUAGAGUAAAGGAAAUAAAAACAAAAAUAAAAAAAUGGGAGCUAAUGAAACUUAAAAGCUUUUGUACAGCAAAGGAAACUAUAAACAAGAUAAAAAGACACCCCUCAGAAUGGGAGAAAAUAUUUGUAAACGAAGCAACUGACAAAGGAUUAAUCUCCAAAAUAUACAAGCAGUUCAUGCAGCUCAAUAUCAAAAAAAACAAACAACCCAAUCCAAAAGUGGGCACAAGAUCUAAAUAGACAUUUCUCCAAAGAAGAUACACAGAUUGCCAACAAACAAAUGAAAGGAUGCUCGACAUCACUAAUUAUAAGAGAAAUGCAAAUCAAAACUACAAUGAGGUAUCACUGCACACAGGUCAGAAUGGCCAUCAUCAAAAAAUCUACAAACAAUAAAUGCUGGAGAGGGUGUGGAGAAAAGGGAACCCUCUUGCAGUGUUGGUGGGGAUGUAAACUGAUACAGCCACUAUGGAGAACAGUAUGGAGGUUCCUUAAAAAACUAAAAAUAGAACUACCAUACAACCCAGCAAUCCCACUACUGGGGAUAUACCCUGAGAAAACCAUAAUUCAAAAAGAGUCAUGUACCACAAUGUUCAUUGCAGCUCUAUUUACAACAGCCAGGACGUGGAAGCAACCUAGGUGUCCACUGACAGAUGAAUGGAUAAAGAAGAUGUGGCAUAUAUAUACAAUGGAAUAUUACUCAGCCAUAAAAAGAAACGAAAUUGAGUUAUUUGUAGUGAGGUGGAUGGACCUAGAGUCUGUCAUACAGAGUGAAGUAAAUCAGAAAGAAGAAAACAAAUACCGUAUGCUAACACAUAUAUAUGGAAUCUAAAAAAAACCCAAAUGGUUUUGAUGAACCUAGGGGAAGGACAGGAAUAAAGAUGCAGAUGUAGAGAAUGGACUUAAGGACACGGGGAGUGGGAAGGGUAAGCUGGGACGAAGUGAGAGAAUGGCAUGGACAUAUAUACACUACCAAAUGUAAAACAGAUAGCUAGUGGGAAGCAGCCGCAUAGCACAGGGAGAUCUGCUCGGUGCUUUCUGACCACCUAGA